AACGUAGGAGACAAACGUUAUCCGGAGUUACUGGGCGUAAAGGGCGUGUAGGCGGUUCGUUAAGUCUGGCGUGAAAUCCCUCGGCUCAACCGGGGAACUGCGUCUGAUACUGGGUGGCUUGAAUCCGGGAGAGGGAUGCGGAAUUCCAGGUGUAGCGGUGAAAUGCGUAGAUAUCUGGAGGAACACCGGUGGCGAAGGCGGCAUCCUGGACCGGCAUUGACGCUGAGGCGCGAAAGCCAGGGGAGCAAACGGG
RNAcentral lists this ribosomal RNA (253 nucleotides) under uncultured bacterium. RNAcentral describes it as "partial 16S ribosomal RNA". It matches the Rfam family "Bacterial small subunit ribosomal RNA", at positions 524 to 776 of the family's 1533-position model. The record is from RNAcentral.